This 301-nucleotide ribosomal RNA is filed under the name uncultured bacterium. RNAcentral describes it as "partial 16S ribosomal RNA". It matches the Rfam family "Bacterial small subunit ribosomal RNA", at positions 509 to 807 of the family's 1533-position model. The record is from RNAcentral.
CAGCAGCCACGGGAAUACGGAGGGGGCUAGCGUUGUUCGGAAUUACUGGGCGUAAAGCGCACGUAGGCGGCUUUGUAAGUUAGAGGUGAAAGCCCGGAGCUCAACUCCGGAAUUGCCUUUAAGACUGCAGAGCUAGCAGGUGAGAGAGGUGAGUGGAAUUCCGAGUGUAGAGGUGAAAUUCGUAGAUAUUCGGAAGAACACCAGUGGCGAAGGCGGCUCACUGGCUCAUACUGGACGCUGAGGUGCGAAAGCGUGGGGAGCAAACAGGAUUAGAGACCCCGGUAGUCCCUGUCUCUUAUAC